Molecule: ribosomal RNA, 484 nt
Filed under: uncultured bacterium
Lineage: Bacteria
Description: partial 16S ribosomal RNA
Rfam family: Bacterial small subunit ribosomal RNA
Source: RNAcentral
AUUGAACGCUGGCGGCAGGCCUAACACAUGCAAGUCGAACGGUAACAGGGAGCUUGUUGCUGGUUUGAGGGGCGGAGGGGGGAGGAAUGCCUAUGAAUCUGCAUGUGAGUGGUGGAUAAGGUUCGGAACUGGGCGCGAUUACUGCAUACGCACUGCGGCGGAAGACGGGGGAGCUUCGGAUUUCACGCUCUCGCCUUCGCCUAGGUCGGAUUAGCUAGUGGGUGGGGUAAAGGCCUACCCAGGCGACGAUCCGUAGCUGGUCUGAGAGGAUGACCAGCCACACUGGAACUGAGACACGGUCCAGACUCCUACGGGAGGCAGCAGUGGGGAAUAUUGGACAAUGGGCGAAAGCCUGAUCCAGCCAUGCCGCGUGUAUGAAGAAGGCCUUCGGAUUGUAAAGUACUUUCAGUGGGGAGGAAGGGCAGUAAGUUAAUACCUUGCUUUAUUGACGUUACCCGCAGAAUAAGCACCGGCUAACUUCGUG